Molecule: ribosomal RNA, 816 nt
Filed under: fungal sp. BG94
Lineage: Eukaryota; Fungi
Description: eukaryotic LSU rRNA
Rfam family: Eukaryotic large subunit ribosomal RNA
Source: RNAcentral
CGGCGAGUGAAGCAGCAAUAGCUCAAAUUUGAAAUCUGGCGUCUUCGACGUCCGAGUUGUAAUUUGUAGAGGAUGCUUCUGAGUGGCCACCGACCUAAGUUCCUUGGAACAGGACGUCAUAGAGGGUGAGAAUCCCGUAUGCGGUCGGAAAGGCGCUCUAUACGUAGCUCCUUCGACGAGUCGAGUUGUUUGGGAAUGCAGCUCUAAAUGGGAGGUAAAUUUCUUCUAAAGCUAAAUAUUGGCCAGAGACCGAUAGCGCACAAGUAGAGUGAUCGAAAGAUGAAAAGCACUUUGGAAAGAGAGUUAAAAAGCACGUGAAAUUGUUAAAAGGGAAGGGAUUGCAACCAGACUUGCUCGCGGUGUUCCGCCGGUCUUCUGACCGGUCUACUCGCCGCGUUGCAGGCCAGCAUCGUCUGGUGCCGCUGGAUAAGACUUGAGGAAUGUAGCUCCCUCGGGAGUGUUAUAGCCUCUUGUGAUGCAGCGAGCGCCGGGCGAGGUCCGCGCUUCGGCUAGGAUGCUGGCGUAAUGGUCGUAAUCCGCCCGUCUUGAAACACGGACCAAGGAGUCUAACAUCUAUGCGAGUGUUCGGGUGUCAAACCCCUACGCGUAAUGAAAGUGAACGGAGGUGAGAACCGCAAGGUGCAUCAUCGACCGAUCCUGAUGUCUUCGGAUGGAUUUGAGUAAGAGCAUAGCUGUUGGGACCCGAAAGAUGGUGAACUAUGCCUGAAUAGGGUGAAGCCAGAGGAAACUCUGGUGGAGGCUCGCAGCGGUUCUGACGUGCAAAUCGAUCGUCAAAUUUGGGUAUAGGGGCGAAAG